UACGUAGGUGGCAAGCGUUGUCCGGAUUUAUUGGGUUUAAAGGGUGCGUAGGCGGCUUAUUAAGUCAGUGGUGAAAGCCCCAAGCUUAACUUGGGAACUGCCAUUGAUACUGAUGAGCUUGAGUAGAUUUGAGGCGGGCGGAAUGUGUCGUGUAGCGGUGAAAUGCUUAGAUAUGACACAGAACACCAAUUGCGUAGGCAGCUCGCUAAACUCUUACUGACGCUGAGGCACGAAAGCAUGGGGAUCAAACAGG
Molecule: ribosomal RNA, 253 nt
Filed under: uncultured bacterium
Lineage: Bacteria
Description: partial 16S ribosomal RNA
Rfam family: Bacterial small subunit ribosomal RNA
Source: RNAcentral